RNAcentral lists this ribosomal RNA (2968 nucleotides) under Bacillus velezensis. RNAcentral's name for it is "bacterial LSU rRNA". It matches the Rfam family "Bacterial large subunit ribosomal RNA". Lineage: Bacteria; Bacillati; Bacillota; Bacilli; Caryophanales; Bacillaceae. The record is from RNAcentral.
GAGGGGCCAGCAACGGUGGAUGCCCUUGGCACUAGGAGCCGAUGGUUAUUAGGACGGGAACGAACACGCGAUAUGCUGUCGGGGAGCCUGUAAGCAAGCUUUGGAUCCCGGGAAGUUUCCGAAUGGGAAACCUCACCAGCUCGUAGAUGGACGUGGUUAUCCAUUAAUCUGAACUACUAUAGGAUAUAGAAAGGCAGACCCGGGGAAACUGAAACAUCUAAAGUACCCAGGAGGAAGAGAAAGCAAAUGCCGAUUUCCCCUGAGUAAGCGCCGGAGCCGAAACGGGACCCAGCCCAAAACCAAAGAGGGCCUUGCCCUCUUGGGGUUGGUAGGACACUCUGUACGGAGUUACAAAGGAACGAGGUAGAUGAAGAGGUCUGGAAAGGCCCGCCAUAGGAGGUAACAGCCCUGUAGUCAAAACUUCGUUCUCUCCUGAGUGGAUCCUGAGUACGGCGGAACACGUGAAAUUCCGUCGGAAUCCGGGAGGACCAUCUCCCAAGGCUAAAUACUCCCUAGUGACCGAUAGUGAACCAGUACCGUGAGGGAAAGGUGAAAAGCACCCCGGAAGGGGAGUGAAAGAGAUCCUGAAACCGUGUGCCUACAAGUAGUCAGAGCCCGUUAACGGGUGAUGGCGUGCCUUUUGUAGAAUGAACCGGCGAGUUACGAUCCCGUGCAAGGUUAAGCAGAAGAUGCGGAGCCGCAGCGAAAGCGAGUCUGAAUAGGGCGAAUUGAGUACGUGGUCGUAGACCCGAAACCAGGUGAUCUACCCAUGUCCAGGGUGAAGUUCAGGUAACACUGAAUGGAGGCCCGAACCCACGCACGUUGAAAAGUGCGGGAGAAGGUGUGGGUAGGGGUGAAAUGCCAAUCGAACCUGGAGAUAGCUGGUUCUCUCCGAAAUAGCUUUAGGGCUAGCCUCAAGGUAAGAGUCCUCGGAGGUAGAGCACUGAUUGGACUAGGGGCCCCCUACCGGGUUACCGGAAUUCAGUCAAAACUCCGAAUGCCCGAUGACUUAUCCUUGGGAGUCAGACUGUCGGAGUGAUAAGAUCCGUAGUCGAAAGGGAAACAGCCCAGACCGCCAGCUAAGGUCCCAAAGUAUAACGUUAAGUGAAAAGGAGUUGGAGUAUGCUUAGACAACCCAGGAUGUUGGCUUAGAAGCAGCCACCAUUUAAAGAGUGCGUAAUAGCUCACUGGUCGAGUGGACUCUGCGCCGAAAUGUACCGGGGCUAAACGAUCACCGAAGCCUGCGGACUGUUCUUCCGAACAGUGGUAGGAGAGCGUUCUAAGGCCUGUUGAAGCAAGACCGGAAGGGACUUGUGGAGCGCUUAAGAAGUGAGAAUGCCGGUAUGAGUAGCGAAAGAGGGGUGAGAAUCCCCUCCACCGAAUGCCUAAGGUUUCCUGAGGAAGGCUCGUCCGCUCAGGGUUAGUCGGGACCUAAGCCGAGGCCGAAAGGCGUAGGCGAUGGAUAACAGGUUGAUAUUCCUGUACCACCUCCUCACCAUUUGAGCAAUGGGGGGACGCAGGAGGAUAGGGUAAGCGCGGUAUUGGAUAUCCGCGUCCAAGCAGUUAGGCUGGGAAAUAGGCAAAUCCGUUUCCCGUGAAGGCUGAGCUGUGAUGGCGAGCGAAUUAUAGUAGCGAAGUUCCUGAUUCCACACUGCCAAGAAAAGCCUCUAGCGAGGUGAGAGGUGCCCGUACCGCAAACCGACACAGGUAGGCGAGGAGAGAAUCCUAAGGUGAUCGAGAGAACUCUCGUUAAGGAACUCGGCAAAAUGACCCCGUAACUUCGGGAGAAGGGGUGCUCUGUUAGGGUGCAAGCCCGAGAGAGCCGCAGUGAAUAGGCCCAGGCGACUGUUUAGCAAAAACACAGGUCUCUGCGAAGCCGUAAGGCGAAGUAUAGGGGCUGACGCCUGCCCGGUGCUGGAAGGUUAAGAGGAGCGCUUAGCGUAAGCGAAGGUGCGAAUUGAAGCCCCAGUAAACGGCGGCCGUAACUAUAACGGUCCUAAGGUAGCGAAAUUCCUUGUCGGGUAAGUUCCGACCCGCACGAAAGGCGCAACGAUCUGGGCACUGUCUCAACGAGAGACUCGGUGAAAUUAUAGUACCUGUGAAGAUGCAGGUUACCCGCGACAGGACGGAAAGACCCCGUGGAGCUUUACUGCAGCCUGAUAUUGAAUGUUGGUACAGCUUGUACAGGAUAGGUAGGAGCCUUGGAAACCGGAGCGCCAGCUUCGGUGGAGGCAUCGGUGGGAUACUACCCUGGCUGUAUUGACCUUCUAACCCGCCGCCCUUAUCGGGCGGGGAGACAGUGUCAGGUGGGCAGUUUGACUGGGGCGGUCGCCUCCUAAAAGGUAACGGAGGCGCCCAAAGGUUCCCUCAGAAUGGUUGGAAAUCAUUCGCAGAGUGUAAAGGCACAAGGGAGCUUGACUGCGAGACCUACAAGUCGAGCAGGGACGAAAGUCGGGCUUAGUGAUCCGGUGGUUCCGCAUGGAAGGGCCAUCGCUCAACGGAUAAAAGCUACCCCGGGAUAACAGGCUUAUCUCCCCCAAGAGUCCACAUCGACGGGGAGGUUUGGCACCUCGAUGUCGGCUCAUCGCAUCCUGGGGCUGUAGUCGGUCCCAAGGGUUGGGCUGUUCGCCCAUUAAAGCGGUACGCGAGCUGGGUUCAGAACGUCGUGAGACAGUUCGGUCCCUAUCCGUCGCGGGCGCAGGAAAUUUGAGAGGAGCUGUCCUUAGUACGAGAGGACCGGGAUGGACGCACCGCUGGUGUACCAGUUGUUCUGCCAAGGGCAUCGCUGGGUAGCUAUGUGCGGACGGGAUAAGUGCUGAAAGCAUCUAAGCAUGAAGCCCCCCUCAAGAUGAGAUUUCCCAUUCCGCAAGGAAGUAAGAUCCCUGAAAGAUGAUCAGGUUGAUAGGUCUGAGGUGGAAGUGUGGCGACACAUGGAGCUGACAGAUACUAAUCGAUCGAGGACUUAACC